RNAcentral lists this ribosomal RNA (253 nucleotides) under uncultured bacterium. Its description in RNAcentral is "partial 16S ribosomal RNA". It matches the Rfam family "Bacterial small subunit ribosomal RNA", at positions 524 to 776 of the family's 1533-position model. The record is from RNAcentral.
GACGGAGGAUGCAAGCGUUAUCCGGAAUUAUUGGGCGUAAAGCGUCCGCAGGUGGCUGUUCAAGUCUGCUGUCAAAGCGCAGAGCUUAACUCUGUACAGGCGGUGGAAACUGAAGAGCUAGAGUAUGGUAGGGGUAGAGGGAAUUCCCGGUGUAGCGGUGAAAUGCGUAGAGAUCAGGAGGAACACCCAUGGCGAAGGCAGCUCUCUGGUCGACAUCUGACGCUGAGACGCGAAAGCGUGGGGAGCGAACGGG